AUUGUAUCCUGCAUCCGCUUCAUCUGUCUCUGACGGAGUUCCUUCAUCGUGGCCUCCAGCUGCUGGCUGUAGUCCUCGUUGAGGCUCAUGAGAUGCUCCACAAAGCUGCAACACGGAGAAGAACGUCCGGAUAUAGUAUGGAAAUAUGGAUUUUCUGUUGCUUUUCCUUAAAAUAAAUAAUCAAAUUGUG
Haliotis rufescens (red abalone) is the source of this 190-nucleotide long non-coding RNA. RefSeq lists it as uncharacterized. The record is from RefSeq and is a predicted model, not a curated record. The transcript has 2 exons. NCBI's taxonomy places the organism in Eukaryota, Metazoa, Mollusca, Gastropoda, Lepetellida, Haliotidae.